UUGAAAAGAACUUUGAAGAGAGAGUUCAAGAGUACGUGAAACCGUUCAGGGGUAAACCUAAGAAACCCAAAAGAUCGAACGGGGAGAUUCAUCGUCAGCGGCGCUGGCUUCGCGUCGGUGGGCGAUGUCCCGCGGAGUCCUCGCGGCUCGCGCGCGGGCACGCUACCGUGCGCCGAUGUCCGGCUGUCGUCGUCGUGCACUUCUCCCCAAGUAGAACGUCGCGACCCGCUGGGUGUCGGUCUACGGCCCGGGUGCGGUGACUGUCGCGUCGCCGGUAAAACGGCACGCGACAAACCCUCGGUCGCCCGGCCGGCUGCUCGGCGGUACGCGCAAGGUAUCAGGCCGCACUUCUACACGGUGCGUCGAGGCCGUCGCAAGCGCGCGCCACGGUACUCGGAGGUUACGGACUCUACGCCGUCCCCGGUCCUGGCCCGCUGUUGGUUAAAGUACGGAUCACCUUCGACAGGCCUGCGAACGUCUCUCUCACGGGGGACGGAUACCGGUCGGCGACGCUACUGCUUUGGGUACUCUUAGGACCCGUCUUGAAACACGGACCAAGGAGUCUAACAUGUACGCGAGUCAUUGGGACUUGUCGCGAGACCUAAAGGCGUAAUGAAAGUGAAGGUCGGCCCUGGCCGUCGACCGAGGGAGGAUGGGCCGCGUCGCGAUGCGGCCUCGCACUCCCGGGGCGUCUCGUUCUCAACGCGAGAAGAGGCGCACCCAGAGCGUACACGUUGGGACCCGAAAGAUGGUGAACUAUGCCUGGUCAGGACGAAGUCAGGGGAAACCCUGAUGGAGGUCCGUAGCGAUUCUGACGUGCAAAUCGAUCGUCGGAACUGGGUAUAGGGGCGAAAGACUAAUCGAACCAUCUAGUAGCUGGUUCCCUCCGAAGUUUCCCUCAGGAUAGCUGGCACUCGGCCGUUCCGCACGGAACGCGCGCGAGUCUCAUCUGGUAAAGCGAAUGAUUAGAGGCCUUGGGGCCGAAACGACCUCAACCUAUUCUCAAACUUUAAAUGGGUGAGAUCUCUGGCUUUCUUGAAUUAUGAAGCCACGAGCAUCUCGGAUCAGAGUGCCAAGUGGGCCAUUUUUGGUAAGCAGAACUGGCGCUGUGGGAUGAACCAAACGCAGAGUUAAGGCGCCCAACUCGACGCUCAUGGGACACCAUGAAAGGCGUUGGUUGCUUAAGACAGCAGGACGGUGGCCAUGGAAGUCGGAAUCCGCUAAGGAGUGUGUAACAACUCACCUGCCGAAGCAACUAGCCCUGAAAAUGGAUGGCGCUGAAGCGUCGAGCCUAUACUCUGCCGUCAGCGGCAAGUGGGGCGGCGACGGGAGCGUUGCGCGCGUCGGACCGCGUUUGCGGCUCUCUCGCGAGGCAAUCGUCUCCCUCGAGUCGUCACGAAGCCCUGACGAGUAGGAGGGUCGCGACGGUGAGCGCAGAAGGGUCU
Molecule: ribosomal RNA, 1445 nt
Filed under: Camponotus albosparsus
Lineage: Eukaryota; Metazoa; Arthropoda; Insecta; Hymenoptera; Formicidae
Description: partial 28S ribosomal RNA
Rfam family: Eukaryotic large subunit ribosomal RNA
Source: RNAcentral